Molecule: long non-coding RNA, 1795 nt
Filed under: Homo sapiens (human)
Lineage: Eukaryota; Metazoa; Chordata; Mammalia; Primates; Hominidae
Description: HSALNT0404850
Source: RNAcentral
UGCACUCCAGCAUGGACGACAGAGGGAGACUCCGUCUAAAAAAAAAAAAGCAAGUGCUUCAUCCUCACCAAAAAGGAGCUAUUCUUUUUACUUGGGCAACCUUCUCUGAAAGCAAAGUCACCUGUCUUGUAAUGAAGCUUCGCAAUUAGGGUUUACACACGAUGUGGCAAAGGAACGCUCACAGUUUGCUGUCUCUUUGGCAUCAACUUCUCCCUGCACAUAAAGCGGGCAUUUCUCGAGCCUGGCUUUUUGGCUUUCCUUUGCUAGGCUCCAUGUAGACACACUGCCCUUUGGGGAGCUGUUGACAGGGUUGAUUAGAGAAUGACUAUCUUCGGUUACUAUGGGAGACACUGCUGGUUGUCCACCCAGUUCCUCCUUUGUUCCUUACUAUUUUGUUCACAGUGGCAAUAUUUUCAGGGAAGGUGAACCCAGCCCUAAGGAGUGAACUAUGAUUGGAUAGCUCACUCUGCGGAUUCCAGGUUUCCUUGUGAUUGGAUAGAACGCUGCGGAUUCCAGGCUUCGUUGUGAUUGGAUAGAACUUAGCGGAUUCCAGGCUUCCUUGUGAUUGGCUAGAACUCUGCGGAUUCCAGGCUUCCUUGUGAUUGGAUAGCUCACUCUGUGGAUUCCAGGCUUCCUUGACAGUAACUGGCUUAGGAGUAGGCAUAUGACCCAUUCUACUCAAAGAGGCAUAAGCGGACACUGACGUUUGCUGGCAGGGGAUGAGGAGCUUGGAAAAGAUCCUCCUCCCGUUUUGCCAUCUUUGUUUCUUGCCACAAUAGGAUGUAACCAUUGGCGCUGCAGCAGCCACCCUGCGACCAUGAAUGGAGAGCCAAGAGAAUGGCAGAGGGUGGAAUUAAGUGACAAGGCAAAGCUAAUGUAAGAUACAUAAAACACCAAAAACACCAAGCAUUCUGCCGUGAACCCAUUUGGUGCUCAAUAAAAUCAUUGCCCUUUUUUUGGUGUUUUGUUGGAGACAAAACGGAAACACCAAAUGGCUGGUGGAAGUGGUAGGAAAAAAGGAGACCAAAAACCCAGUGGCUCUGAAGAGGGCUUCUCAUCCUCAGCACUGCUGACAUUUGCGCCAGAUAUUUCUUUGUUUUGGAGGCUGUCCUGUGCACUGUCGGAUGUUUAGCAGCAUCGUCAGCCUCUACUCUCCAGGAGUCUGAGCCAAGGCUGCGUCCACAGGAGGGAGUCACUGACGGUUGGAGGACUGAUAUUCACCAAUACCUUUCCCACAAACAAGAGAUGCCUGAGAAAGACCUGGUCAUGCAGGAGGUGGUGAGUGGCUACUGGAAGAAAUAUGGUGGCUGGGGGAGGGGCAAGGGAGAAGUCUGCCUGCGGUUGAGCAGGCUGGCUGGAGAGCCAAGGCCAGUGCCCACUAGUGACUCUCCCGAGGGGUGUUGCCUUGGUGGGCUUCCCCGCUCUGGCCUUUUGUCACCUUGUUUGCUGAAUCCAGGUAAAAUUUUUGACCAAAUUGGAAAGCAAUUCCGGGGAGUUGGAGUCAGAUCUGUCCCUACCCUUGCUGUUGCUAAUGAGCUGUAUGACCUUAGUUGAGCCAUUUGAUCUCUCUGCAACUGUUUCUUGGGCUGUGAAACAUGGGGGUUGGAGUCUCUGAUUUCUAAGGUCCUUUUCAGCUGUAAGUUCUAAGGCCUGUGAAUACCACAGUGUGAUGAAGCCAACUGGGUGGUGGUGAGGGCCUUGUAAGUUUCAGUCUUACUGCAAGCCGGCGAUAGAAUUCUCCCCAUGUCUUUGUUAAGAACUCUUGGCCGGGCACAGUGGCUCAUGCCUGUAAUCC